GGCCCAAUUCCAAACCACCCCCUCACUGACUCAUUGACUUAGGUGCGCGCUCAUGUGAGCUCUGUAAGGGCUUGAGGGUUGUUCCAAAUGAAAUCGGUAAGUCAGCGAGGGCUCGGGAACGCCCCUUUCUGCACCCUUUCCGUAAGUCCGUACCGUUGAGGACUUUGGCUAUGAAAUUGCCCACAAUUCAUUGCGUUGUGGGCGUUACUGGACGACAGCGACGCAGCCGGGGGACAGGAUUUAAAAAGGAACGAGGCCACAAGCGUCUCAACGUCCGCGACAGACACCAAAAAUGACGGAGAUCAUGGCGAAGAAGCUCAAGAAGAAGCAGUUCAUUUAGGAUCUAGGUGCACCCUUAAUACUCUAACAUGGAUGUUCCGCAUCGUGUAUGGUGGGCGCCGGAAUGCCAAGAUGAACAAGAAUGCACUACAUUAACA
This is a non-coding RNA of Xyrichtys novacula (pearly razorfish), 437 nucleotides long. The record is from the annotation of a GenBank genome assembly. Lineage: Eukaryota; Metazoa; Chordata; Actinopteri; Labriformes; Labridae.